RNAcentral lists this ribosomal RNA (376 nucleotides) under uncultured eukaryote. RNAcentral describes it as "partial 18S ribosomal RNA". It matches the Rfam family "Eukaryotic small subunit ribosomal RNA", at positions 592 to 976 of the family's 1831-position model. The record is from RNAcentral.
CAAGAGCGUAUAUUAAAGUUGCUGCGGUUAAAAAGCUCGUAGUUGGAUUUCAGUCUAGGAAGGUUAACUCGCCGAAAGGUUGUACGUUGAUUUUCCUCAGACUUCGUCAGAAGCUCGUGCUGCACUUAACUGUGUGGUGCGAUGUUCUGACCUUUUACCUUGAGGAAAGUAGAGUGUUUCAGGCAGGCUACCCAGCUUGAAUACAUUAGCAUGGAAUAAUGAAAUGGAUCUCGGUUCGAUUUCGUUGGUUCUAGAGCUGAGGUGAUGAUCAAUAGGAACAGGCGAAGGUAUUCGUACUUGAGAGUGAGGAGUGAAAUCCGAUGAUCUCUUAAAGACGAUCCGAGGCGAAAGCAUUUGUCAAGGAUGUUUUCAUUGA